This 422-nucleotide ribosomal RNA is filed under the name uncultured bacterium. RNAcentral's name for it is "partial 16S ribosomal RNA". It matches the Rfam family "Bacterial small subunit ribosomal RNA", at positions 360 to 774 of the family's 1533-position model. The record is from RNAcentral.
AAUUUUGGACAAUGGGGGCAACCCUGAUUCAGCCAUCCCGCGUGUGCGAUGAAGGCCCNCGGGUUNUNAUGUAUUUUUGGCAGGGNCGAAAAGGCGCCGGAUAACACCUGGCGCCGCUGACGGUACCUGCAGAAUAAGCACCGGCUACCUACGUGCCAGCAGCCGCGGUAAUACGUAGGGUGCAAGCGUUAAUCGGAAUUACUGGGCGUAAAGCGUGCGCAGGCGGUUCGGAAAGAAAGAUGUGAAAUCCCAAGGCUUAACCUGGGAACUGCAUUUUUAACUGCCGGGCUAGAGUAUGUCAGAGGGGGGUAGAAUUCCACGUGUAGCAGUGAAAUGCGUAGAGAUGUGGAGGAAUACCGAUGGCGAAGGCAGCCCCCUGGGAUAAUACUGACGCUCAUGCACGAAAGCGUGGGGAGCAAACA